ACAUCAAAACCCCAAAUAAAUUCAAUCCUGAUCAUUGCAAGAAAGCUUUCUGUCCUAUCAGGGACCCUGGGUUAAAUCCACCUUCUCAAUUCUGGUGCCUUUAUGUUGGACUACAGCUCCCAUUAACCAUGCUGGCUGUGUGGAUAAUGGGAGUGGCAUUCCAAUAGGCCCAGAUGGCACCAGGCUGGGGAAGAACAGGUUUGUGUAAACCGAGGCUGUUGUUCUGCGGGAUUUGUUGUGUGUUUGUGUUUUCAUGCUCACUUCUUCUUUCCGUUUCAGGGGGAAGGAACAGUCGGCGACUCCCUUGAGGAGGUCUUCAGCUGCCGACGACAGGCCCGGAUCCAAGCAGACCUUCUUGACACAGAGUAGAAGAGGGAUGUUCUGUGGGUCCUUCUCCUCCGAGCAGAAUGGAAACGUGGAGAACCACUUGCUCGGCUCAAAAGGCGUCCCAGAGCUACGACCUGGGAGAACGGCAAGGAGUACCCAGAUGACGGCUGCUUCUCAGAUUAAAAAAACAGAGGAGGCCACGUCCCCUGGAACUCCUGGCCAAAAGGUCGGGGCAUCUCUGGCCUCUGGAUUCCAGCAGAUGCUAAAGCUCCGUCCAUCGACUCCAACUCAUUCUAAUGUUCAGCAGACUCGUGAGGUCCCAACCAGUGGCCACAGCUCAGUGGCCCAUCAAGAAGGGGUUCCUACUGAGGGAUUGAGAAAGGCCCCCAAAGCAGGGAGAUCUUUUUCCCCAGUGAAACAGAUGCACUCUGUUCAAAAAGAGGAGAGCAGUGCAAAGGGUUCAGCCAAGGUCAGGCUGACGUUCUCCAGGCCUCCCACCCCCAGCAAAAACUACGAAGCGAGAAAUGGAGGGGGCCUUAUGACCCAAGUUGGGGUGCUCAAGGGUGGGGCUAGUCCUCAGAAGGAAGAGGGAAAGGCAAGCAAUGGAUUUCCUGAGAGAUCCUGGGUUGGACUCAACCAGGUAAACCUAGAACAUCAAAGGAAGAAUGUCCAGACAAACCUUGAUCAAAGAGGUGCUCCGCAUAGCCCUUGUGAGAAUGAUCAAAGCGGCCAUGGAGAUAUCAAGGAGCCUCCAGUAGAGAAGGAACGUGUCUACACUCCAUUGCCUAUUAACAUGGCUGAAGAACAGGCUCUGUAUAGGAGUCUGGAGGAAGAAAUCAUGGCCAACAUCAAGGAGUUGGAAGACGGCGAGGAUGAGAACCACCUUUCCAAAGAGAGCCAGUUGAGAGGGUUUAGAAUGGACCGUGACUCACGAAGAGGCACGGCUGCCUUAGACUGUAAUGACCGAAGGUUGUCUACACCAUCCCUCCCCUUUUGGUCAAACGCCACAAAGGUCUUGGAUUACAGGGAAGGUGUCCCUCGGAGUGGUGUCUAUGUCCCUGAAAGCGAGA
RNAcentral lists this long non-coding RNA (1397 nucleotides) under Pogona vitticeps (central bearded dragon). RNAcentral's name for it is "lncRNA (ENSPVIG00000004932.1)". The record is from RNAcentral. Lineage: Eukaryota; Metazoa; Chordata; Lepidosauria; Squamata; Agamidae.